GGGGUGAGAAGCCCGCUCGCCGGAAGACCAAGGGUUCCUGUCCAACGUUAAUCGGGGCAGGGUGAGUCGACCCCUAAGGCGAGGCCGAAAGGCGUAGUCGAUGGGAAACAGGUUAAUAUUCCUGUACUUGGUGUUACUGCGAAGGGGGGACGGAGAAGGCUAUGUUGGCCGGGCGACGGUUGUCCCGGUUUAAGCGUGUAGGCUGGUUUUCCAGGCAAAUCCGGAAAAUCAAGGCUGAGGCGUGAUGACGAGGCACUACGGUGCUGAAGCAACAAAUGCCCUGCUUCCAGGAAAAGCCUCUAAGCAUCAGGUAACAUCAAAUCGUACCCCAAACCGACACAGGUGGUCAGGUAGAGAAUACCAAGGCGCUUGAGAGAACUCGGGUGAAGGAACUAGGCAAAAUGGUGCCGUAACUUCGGGAGAAGGCACGCUGAUAUGUAGGUGAAGCGACUUGCUCGUGGAGCUGAAAUCAGUCGAAGAUACCAGCUGGCUGCAACUGUUUAUUAAAAACACAGCACUGUGCAAACACGAAAGUGGACGUAUACGGUGUGACGCCUGCCCGGUGCCGGAAGGUUAAUUGAUGGGGUUAGCGCAAGCGAAGCUCUUGAUCGAAGCCCCGGUAAACGGCGGCCGUAACAAUAACGGUCCUAAGGUAGCGAAAUUCCUUGUCGGGUAAGUUCCGACCUGCACGAAUGGCGUAAUGAUGGCCAGGCUGUCUCCACCCGAGACUCAGUGAAAUUGAACUCGCUGUGAAGAUGCAGUGUACCCGCGGCAAGACGGAAAGACCCCGUGAACCUUUACUAUAGCUUGACACUGAACAUUGAGCCUUGAUGUGUAGGAUAGGUGGGAGGCUUUGAAGUGUGGACGCCAGUCUGCAUGGAGCCGACCUUGAAAUACCACCCUUUAAUGUUUGAUGUUCUAACGUUGACCCGUAAUCCGGGUUGCGGACAGUGUCUGGUGGGUAGUUUGACUGGGGCGGUCUCCUCCUAAAGAGUAACGGAGGAGCACGAAGGUUGGCUAAUCCUGGUCGGACAUCAGGAGGUUAGUGCAAUGGCAUAAGCCAGCUUGACUGCGAGCGUGACGGCGCGAGCAGGUGCGAAAGCAGGUCAUAGUGAUCCGGUGGUUCUGAAUGGAAGGGCCAUCGCUCAACGGAUAAAAGGUACUCCGGGGAUAACAGGCUGAUACCGCCCAAGAGUUCAUAUCGACGGCGGUGUUUGGCACCUCGAUGUCGGCUCAUCACAUCCUGGGGCUGAAGUAGGUCCCAAGGGUAUGGCUGUUCGCCAUUUAAAGUGGUACGCGAGCUGGGUUUAGAACGUCGUGAGACAGUUCGGUCCCUAUCUGCCGUGGGCGCUGGAGAACUGAGGGGGGCUGCUCCUAGUACGAGAGGACCGGAGUGGACGCAUCACUGGUGUUCGGGUUGUCAUGCCAAUGGCACUGCCCGGUAGCUAAAUGCGGAAGAGAUAAGUGCUGAAAGCAUCUAAGCACGAAACUUGCCCCGAGAUGAGUUCUCCCUGACUCCUUGAGAGUCCUGAAGGAACGUUGAAGACGACGACGUUGAUAGGCCGGGUGUGUAAGCGCAGCGAUGCGUUGAGCUAACCGGUACUAAUGAACCGUGAGGCUUAACC
RNAcentral lists this ribosomal RNA (1625 nucleotides) under metagenome. Its description in RNAcentral is "bacterial LSU rRNA". It matches the Rfam family "Bacterial large subunit ribosomal RNA", at positions 1318 to 2925 of the family's 2925-position model. The record is from RNAcentral.